ACAACGGAGAGUUUGAUCCUGGCUCAGGACGAACGCUGGCGGCGUGCUUAACACAUGCAAGUCAACUUGAGUCAUUUAGCAAUAGAUGAUUAGGGUGGCGCAAGGGUGCGUAACGCGUAAGCAAUCUGCCCUUUGGCGAGGAAUAACUUCGAGAAAUCGGAGCUAAAACCACAUAAUGCAGCGGCACCGCAUGGUGAAGUUGUUAAAGAGAAAUUACCAAAGGAUGAGCUUGCGUCUGAUUAGCUAGUUGGUAAGGUAACGGCUUACCAAGGCAACGAUCAGUAGCUGGUCUGAGAGGAUGAUCAGCCACACUGGAACUGAGACACGGUCCAGACUCCUACGGGAGGCAG
This 350-nucleotide ribosomal RNA is filed under the name Ignavibacteriaceae bacterium. Its description in RNAcentral is "bacterial SSU rRNA". It matches the Rfam family "Bacterial small subunit ribosomal RNA", at positions 1 to 351 of the family's 1533-position model. Lineage: Bacteria; Pseudomonadati; Ignavibacteriota; Ignavibacteria; Ignavibacteriales; Ignavibacteriaceae. The record is from RNAcentral.